This 465-nucleotide ribosomal RNA is filed under the name uncultured bacterium. RNAcentral's name for it is "partial 16S ribosomal RNA". It matches the Rfam family "Bacterial small subunit ribosomal RNA", at positions 338 to 795 of the family's 1533-position model. The record is from RNAcentral.
CCUACGGGUGGCAGCAGUGGGGAAUAUUGCGCAAUGGGCGAAAGCCUGACGCAGCGACGCCGCGUGAGGGAUGAAGGUCUUCGGAUCGUACACCUCUGUCAGCAGGGAAGAACGGUCACUGUGCUAAUCAGCAGUGAAUUGACGGUACCUGCAAAGGAAGCACCGGCUAACUCCGUGCCAGCAGCCGCGGUAAUACGGAGGGUGCGAGCGUUAAUCGGAAUUACUGGGCGUAAAGCGCUCGUAGGCGGUAUGUCAAGUCAAGGGUGAAAUCCCCGCGCUUAACGUGGGAACUGCCUUUGAAACUGGGAAACUGGAGUGUGUGAGAGGAUAGUGGAAUUCCAGGUGUAGGAGUGAAAUCCGUAGAGAUCUGGAGGAACAUCAGUGGCGAAGGCGACUAUUUGGCACAGAACUGACGCUGAGGUGCGAAAGCGUGGGUAGCAAACAGGAUUAGAUACCCCAGUAGUC